UACGUAGGGGCCUAGCGUUGUCCGGAUUUAUUGGGCGUAAAGAGCUCGUAGGCGGUUCGGUAAGUCGGAUGUGAAAGCCCUCGGCUUAACUGAGGAAGUGCACCCGAAACUGAGUAGCUAGAGUACGAAAGAGGGUCGCGGAAUUCCCGGUGUAGUGGUGAAAUGCGUAGAUAUCGGGAGGAACACCAGUGGCGAAGGCGACUUCCUGGCCUGUUCUUGACGCUGAGGCGCGAAAGCUAGGGGAGCAAACGGG
RNAcentral lists this ribosomal RNA (253 nucleotides) under uncultured bacterium. RNAcentral's name for it is "partial 16S ribosomal RNA". It matches the Rfam family "Bacterial small subunit ribosomal RNA", at positions 524 to 776 of the family's 1533-position model. The record is from RNAcentral.